AUUGAUAAAGGGAAAGGCAAAGCCAUGGAUAAAGGAAAAGGAAAGGCAUCUGGAUAUACCGGUCGUCGGAAAUCUGGAGGUGUUGAGAUUAAAGAACCGGGUUCUGAGCCUCCGCGUCUUAGUCUGCAGGAUGUUCCGUCUGCUCGAAGGUCAAUGUACUCGUCGAAACAUUGUAUUGGUGAGCGCGAUGUUGGCGUCGCCAGUAUCAUUGACUGUGUGCCGGGAUUUCAGGAUUUAUUUG
RNAcentral lists this long non-coding RNA (241 nucleotides) under Ananas comosus (pineapple). Its description in RNAcentral is "long non-coding RNA (ACOM_LNC029757)". Lineage: Eukaryota; Viridiplantae; Streptophyta; Magnoliopsida; Poales; Bromeliaceae. The record is from RNAcentral.